Molecule: ribosomal RNA, 549 nt
Filed under: uncultured Glomus
Lineage: Eukaryota; Fungi; Glomeromycota; Glomeromycetes; Glomerales; Glomeraceae
Description: SSU rRNA
Rfam family: Eukaryotic small subunit ribosomal RNA
Source: RNAcentral
UUGGAGGGCAAGUCUGGUGCCAGCAGCCGCGGUAAUUCCAGCUCCAAUAGCGUAUAUUAAAGUUGUUGCAGUUAAAAAGCUCGUAGUUGAAUUUCGGGGUCAGCAGGUUGGUCGUGCCAAUGGUAUGAACUGGCCUUGCUGAUUCCUCCCUCUUGAUGAGCCGUAAUGCCAUUAAUUUGGUGUUGCGGGGAAUCAGGACUGUUACUUUGAAAAAAUUAGAGUGUUUAAAGCAGGCAAGCGCUUGAAUACAUUAGCAUGGAAUAAUGAAAUAGGACGUUUGAUCCUAUUUUGUUGGUUUCUAGGAUUGACGUAAUGAUUAAUAGGGAUAGUUGGGGGCAUUAGUAUUCAAUUGUCAGAGGUGAAAUUCUUGGAUUUAUUGAAGACUGACUACUGCGAAAGCAUUUGCCAAGGAUGUUUUCAUUAAUCAAGAACGAAAGUUAGGGGAUCGAAGACGAUCAGAUACCGUCGUAGUCUUAACCAUAAACUAUGCCGACUAGGGAUCGGAUGAUGUUAAUUUUUUAAUGACUCAUUCGGCACCUUACGGGAAAC